GGUGUGGUAGGCAUUCCUUACUGAACCCGCAAGCAAGCAUAUCUCAGCAAUGAAGAAAAACACCCUGGUACGGACAAUUUAGGAUGUUCAGAAAAAGAUAACAUAGGUUCCAUAAGAUACAUUGCAAGAAAUAGACCAGCUAACUUUAGCUUGCUCGAAUAUAACAUGGUAAUGGAUAAAGGUUAGCAGCAUCUAUGUUCAAUGAUGGAUAGGUUUAUAGUUCAGCUUUGGAUUGGCAUCACCUACCAGCAGGUUAUAUACAGGAUAACUGCCCAAGCCCUAGAACCUCCAGGACUCAAAGGCUUGCCACAGCAGAAGCAUUUACUGGCAAACAUAAUAAGGACUUGGCUAGCCAUGAGGAACAAAAAAGCGCCAACACCAAGGCCAGUUGCAAUGUCUGAAUCAUAGAUGCAGUAACUGUAAUCUUUUUCA
This 432-nucleotide long non-coding RNA is filed under the name Populus trichocarpa (black cottonwood). RNAcentral describes it as "long non-coding RNA (PTRI_LNC002779)". The record is from RNAcentral. Lineage: Eukaryota; Viridiplantae; Streptophyta; Magnoliopsida; Malpighiales; Salicaceae.